GUGGGGAAUAUUGGACAAUGGGCGAAAGCCUGAUCCAGCCAUGCCGCGUGUGUGAAGAAGGUCUUCGGAUUGUAAAGCACUUUAAGUUGGGAGGAAGGGCAGUAAGUUAAUACCUUGCUGUUUUGACGUUACCGACAGAAUAAGCACCGGCUAACUUCGUGCCAGCAGCCGCGGUAAUACGAAGGGUGCAAGCGUUAAUCGGAAUUACUGGGCGUAAAGCGCGCGUAGGUGGUUCAGCAAGUUGAAGGUGAAAUCCCCGGGCUCAACCUGGGAACUGCCUCCAAAACUACUGAGCUAGAGUACGGUAGAGGGUAGUGGAAUUUCCUGUGUAGCGGUGAAAUGCGUAGAUAUAGGAAGGAACACCAGUGGCGAAGGCGACUACCUGGACUGAUACUGACACUGAGGUGCGAAAGCGUGGGGAGCAAACAGGAUUAGAAACCCCAGUAGUCC
RNAcentral lists this ribosomal RNA (450 nucleotides) under uncultured bacterium. RNAcentral describes it as "bacterial SSU rRNA". It matches the Rfam family "Bacterial small subunit ribosomal RNA", at positions 354 to 796 of the family's 1533-position model. The record is from RNAcentral.